This 1057-nucleotide ribosomal RNA is filed under the name uncultured Glaciecola sp. Its description in RNAcentral is "bacterial SSU rRNA". It matches the Rfam family "Bacterial small subunit ribosomal RNA", at positions 10 to 1064 of the family's 1533-position model. The record is from RNAcentral. Lineage: Bacteria; Pseudomonadati; Pseudomonadota; Gammaproteobacteria; Alteromonadales; Alteromonadaceae.
AGUUUGAUCCUGGCUCAGAUUGAACGCUGGCGGCAGGCCUAACACAUGCAAGUCGAACGGAAACAUGUCUAGCUUGCUAGAUGAUGUCGAGUGGCGGACGGGUGAGUAAUACUUAGGAACAUGCCUUUGGGUGGGGGAUAACUAUUGGAAACGAUAGCUAAUACCGCAUAACGUCUACGGACCAAAGGGGGCUUCGGCUCCCGCCCAGAGAGUGGCCUAAGCGAGAUUAGCUUGUUGGUGAGGUAAAGGCUCACCAAGGCGACGAUCUCUAGCUGUUCUGAGAGGAAGAUCAGCCACACUGGAACUGAGACACGGUCCAGACUCCUACGGGAGGCAGCAGUGGGGAAUAUUGCACAAUGGGGGAAACCCUGAUGCAGCCAUGCCGCGUGUGUGAAGAAGGCCUUCGGGUUGUAAAGCACUUUCAGUUGUGAGGAAAGGUUGGUAGUUAAUACCUGCCAGCUAUGACGUUAGCAACAGAAGAAGGACCGGCUAACUCCGUGCCAGCAGCCGCGGUAAUACGGAGGGUCCGAGCGUUAAUCGGAAUUACUGGGCGUAAAGCGCACGCAGGCGGUUUGUUAAGCUAGAUGUGAAAGCCCCGGGCUCAACCUGGGAAUAGCAUUUAGAACUGGCAGACUAGAGUCUUGGAGAGGGGAGUGGAAUUUCUGGUGUAGCGGUGAAAUGCGUAGAUAUCAGAAGGAACAUCAGUGGCGAAGGCGACUCCCUGGCCAAAGACUGACGCUCAUGUGCGAAAGUGUGGGUAGCGAACAGGAUUAGAUACCCUGGUAGUCCACACCGUAAACGCUGUCUACUAGCUGUUUGUGGAUUUAAUCCGUGAGUAGCGAAGCUAACGCGAUAAGUAGACCGCCUGGGGAGUACGGCCGCAAGGUUAAAACUCAAAUGAAUUGACGGGGGCCCGCACAAGCGGUGGAGCAUGUGGUUUAAUUCGAUGCAACGCGAAGAACCUUACCUACUCUUGACAUACUAGAAACUUUUCAGAGAUGAAUUGGUGCCUUCGGGAAUCUAGAUACAGGUGCUGCAUGGCUGUCGUCAGCUCGUG